GACGAACGCUGGCGGCGUGCUUAACACAUGCAAGUCGAACGGAAAGGCCCUGCUUUUGUGGGGUGCUCGAGUGGCGAACGGGUAAGUAACACGUGAGUAACCUGCCCUUGACUUUGGGAUAACUUCAGGAAACUGGGGCUAAUACCGGAUAGGAGCUCCUGCUGCAUGGUGGGGGUUGGAAAGUUUCGGCGGUUGGGGAUGGACUCGCGGCUUAUCAGCUUGUUGGUGGGGUAGUGGCUUACCAAGGCUUUGACGGGUAGCCGGCCUGAGAGGGUGACCGGCCACAUUGGGACUUAGAUACGGCCCAGACUCCUACGGGAGGCAGCAGUGGGGAAUAUUGCACAAUGGGCGGAAGCCUGAUGCAGCAACGCCGCGUGCGGGAUGACGGCCUUCGGGUUGUAAACCGCUUUCGCCUGUGACGAAGCGUGAGUGACGGUAAUGGGUAAAGAAGCACCGGCUAACUACGUG
Molecule: ribosomal RNA, 468 nt
Filed under: uncultured bacterium
Lineage: Bacteria
Description: partial 16S ribosomal RNA
Rfam family: Bacterial small subunit ribosomal RNA
Source: RNAcentral